RNAcentral lists this ribosomal RNA (480 nucleotides) under uncultured bacterium. RNAcentral describes it as "partial 16S ribosomal RNA". It matches the Rfam family "Bacterial small subunit ribosomal RNA", at positions 28 to 507 of the family's 1533-position model. The record is from RNAcentral.
GAUGAACGCUGGCGGCGUGCUUAACACAUGCAAGUCGAACGGAACUACUCCAAUGAGAGUCUUCGGAAAGGAUUUGGUUUAGUUUAGUGGCGGACGGGUGAGUAACGCGUGGGUAACCUGCCCUAUACAGGGGGAUAACAGUUGGAAACGACUGUUAAUACCGCAUAAGCGCACAGGAGCGCAUGCUCCGGUGUGAAAAACUCCGGUGGUAUAGGAUGGACCCGCGUCUGAUUAGCUGGUUGGCGGGGUAACGGCCCACCAAGGCGACGAUCAGUAGCCGGCCUGAGAGGGUGAACGGCCACAGUGGGACUGAGACACGGCCCAAACUCCUACGGGAGGCAGCAGUGGGGAAUAUUGCACAAUGGGGGAAACCCUGAUGCAGCGACGCCGCGUGAGCGAAGAAGUAUCUCGGUAUGUAAAGCUCUAUCAGCAGGGAAGAAAAUGACGGUACCUGACUAAGAAGCCCCGGCUAACUACGUG